Molecule: long non-coding RNA, 925 nt
Organism: Salvia miltiorrhiza (redroot sage)
Lineage: Eukaryota; Viridiplantae; Streptophyta; Magnoliopsida; Lamiales; Lamiaceae
Exons: 3
Source: RefSeq, a predicted model, not a curated record
AUAUAUAUAUAUGUAGUCCCUCUUAAUAUGGAAAAUCUGCAGUUGUGGAAUGACAUGGAUAGAAGUGCUUUUAAUAUUUUAAUGUGCCUCUCAAAAAUCCUAACUCAGGCAUUCUAAACAUUGAGCCAUUCUCUCAUCUAUGCAUCUUGACUUGUGUGAUUCAGUUUCUUGGAUCAAAUGCUGAAAAUGGUGAGUGCAGCUCGAGUUAUUUGCUUAGUACAACAUUGUUUUCUAUUUUGCAAAAAUAUUAUUUUUUAUAUAAUUUCUGUGUUUCAGGAAAAGAAAAUCUUGAAGAAUUUGAAGUUAUGCCUCAACUAGUUCAUGCUCAAAUUUCUGAAGGCUGCUCAAUUUGACAUAAAAGUAAGGUAUCCAGUAAAAUUUGUGAAAUAAUUUAGGCUCUAUUGGAGAUAUGGCUUGAUUUAAGUGGUCAGUUUUUAGGUAUUGCAGAACUUAAUAUUGAUCAUAGUUGAUGUGGCUCUCUUGCUGCUUGAGCUUUUGAUUGCAUUCUAUAGAAUGGAUGAGUAAUACUAAAAGUUUAUUGAUUGAGAAGAUGUAUAUUAAGAUGGAGAGAUUGAAAAGUUAAAACUUUCAGAGAUGAUAUGCUGAGAAGGGGUUAUUCAGCACGAACGACUCGGAUUUAGGGGAAGGAAGAUCCAAGUUGAGAGAUGAAGAGUAAGACCAACUAGAAGAUGAUUUGAGAGCUAAACUCCCUGCUAUCAUUCAAGGCCUAAAUCAAAGUAGUCAAAUACCGAGUUCUAAUUAUUGUAAAGUUAGUUGACUAAGUUUUAUUUAUUAGAAAGACAUGAUUUUAUGAUAUUUCAUAAAUAUGCUUCUGCCUCAAUUUUGCAAUUCGUAUUUGACUUUUUAGAAAUAAGCAUGAUUAUGCUUAAAAUAGUGUGAUCACGUCUUUACUUAAAGAAGCUUC